CUACACGACCGUACCGCAAACCGACACUGGUGCGCGAGAUGAGUAUUCUAAGGCGCUUGAGAGAACUCAGGAGAAGGAACUCGGCAAAUUGACACCGUAACUUCGGAAGAAGGUGUGCCUUUAGUAGGUGAAGUCCCUCGCGGAUGGAGCCCAAUGAGGUUGCAAAAAAUCGGUGGCUGCGACUGUUUAUUAAAAACACAGCACUCUGCAAACACGAAAGUGGACGUAUAGGGUGUGACGCCUGCCCGGUGCUGGAAGAUUAAAUGAUGGGGUGCAAGCUCUUGAUUGAAGUCCCAGUAAACGGCGGCCGUAACUAUAACGGUCCUAAGGUAGCGAAAUUCCUUGUCGGGUAAGUUCCGACCUGCACGAAUGGCGUAACGAUGGCCACACUGUCUCCUCCUGAGACUCAGCGAAGUUGAAAUGUUUGUGAUGAUGCAAUCUCCCCGCGGAAAGACGGAAAGACCCCAUGAACCUUUACUGUAGCUUUGUAUUGGACUUUGAACAGAUCUGUGUAGGAUAGGUGGGAGGCUUUGAAGCAGGGUCGCUAGAUCUUGUGGAGCCAACGUUGAAAUACCACCCUGGUGUGUUUGAGGUUCUAACCUAGGCCCGUAAUCCGGGUUGGGGACAGUGCAUGGUAGGCAGUUUGACUGGGGCGGUCUCCUCCCAAAGUGUAACGGAGGAGUUCGAAGGUACGCUAGUUACGGUCGGACAUCGUGACGAUAGUGCAAUGGCAUAAGCGUGCUUAACUGCGAGACUGACAAGUCGAGCAGAUGCGAAAGCAGGACAUAGUGAUCCGGUGGUUCUGUAUGGAAGGGCCAUCGCUCAACGGAUAAAAGGUACUCUGGGGAUAACAGGCUGAUACCGCCCAAGAGUUCAUAUCGACGGCGGUGUUUGGCACCUCGAUGUCGGCUCAUCUCAUCCUGGGGCUGUAGCCGGUCCCAAGGGUAUGGCUGUUCGCCAUUUAAAGAGGUACGUGAGCUGGGUUUAAAACGUCGUGAGACAGUUUGGUCCCUAUCUUCCGUGGGCGCUGCAGAUUUGAGGAAGCCUGCUCCUAGUACGAGAGGACCGGAGUGGACGCACCUCUGGUGUAUCGGUUGUCACGCCAGUGGCAUUGCCGAGUAGCUAUGUGCGGAAGAGAUAACCGCUGAAAGCAUCUAAGCGGGAAACUCGUUUCAAGAUGAGAUCUGCCGGGGCCUUGAGCCCCCUGAAGAGUCGUUCAAGACCAGGACGUUGAUAGGUCGGGUGUGGAAGCGCAGUAAUGCGUUAAGCUAACCGAUACUAAUUGCUCGUGCGGCUUGACCCU
This 1303-nucleotide ribosomal RNA is filed under the name metagenome. Its description in RNAcentral is "bacterial LSU rRNA". It matches the Rfam family "Bacterial large subunit ribosomal RNA", at positions 1634 to 2925 of the family's 2925-position model. The record is from RNAcentral.